Caenorhabditis elegans is the source of this 336-nucleotide non-coding RNA. Lineage: Eukaryota; Metazoa; Nematoda; Chromadorea; Rhabditida; Rhabditidae. The record is from Ensembl.
UGUCAGUGCCUUUCUCUGACUGCCAAACAAAAACGCAAGAAAAUCGCAGGAGCAAUCGAGCUGCAAAAGAGCUGCGAAUGAGGCAGAAGCAUCGGGAGUAGAGAAGACGGCGCAGGAGGGGAAUGAAGAAGCGGUAUCUGAAGAGGGAGAGAAGGAUCUGAUGGAAUGAUGGCACAUUGGCACGUUUUGCUAGUGUGUCGCACGCUCAAUGUGCCAAUGUGCCAAUGCGAGAAAAAGAGCAAUCGGUGUGCGCUUCGUUUUGAGUCGGGGUGUGCCUGUGGAUCGGAAGAAGCAGCAAAAAAAAUCGUUGAGUGAGUGAGGCGACAGCAAUCCCAG